This 450-nucleotide ribosomal RNA is filed under the name uncultured bacterium. RNAcentral describes it as "partial 16S ribosomal RNA". It matches the Rfam family "Bacterial small subunit ribosomal RNA", at positions 28 to 523 of the family's 1533-position model. The record is from RNAcentral.
GAUGAACGCUGGCGGUGUGCCUAAUACAUGCAAGUCGAACGAGCUCUUCGGAGCUAGUGGCGGACGGGUGAGUAACACGUUGGUACCUGCCUCGAAGUGGGGAAUAACUGCCCGAAAGGGUGGCUAAUACCGCAUGUGUCCGCAAGGUUAAAGCAGUAAUGCGCUUCGGGAGGGGCCUGCGUCCCAUUAGCUUGUUGGUAGGGUAAAAGCCUACCAAGGCGACGAUGGGUAGCUGGAUCGAGAGGUUGACCAGCCACACUGGGACUGAGAUACGGCCCAGACUCCUACGGGAGGCAGCAGUAAGGAAUCUUCCACAAUGGACGAAAGUCUGAUGGAGCAAUACCGCGUGCAGGAUGACGGCCUUCGGGUUGUAAACUGCUUUUGUAUGGGAAGAUUAUGACGGUACCAUAUGAUAAGCACCGGCUAACUACGUGCCAGCAGCCGCCGUAA